RNAcentral lists this transfer RNA (110 nucleotides) under Candidatus Heimdallarchaeota archaeon LC_2. Its description in RNAcentral is "tRNA-Leu". It matches the Rfam family "tRNA". From Rfam's summary of the family: Transfer RNA (tRNA) molecules are approximately 80 nucleotides in length. Their secondary structure includes four short double-helical elements and three loops (D, anti-codon, and T loops). The record is from RNAcentral. Lineage: Archaea; Promethearchaeati; Candidatus Heimdallarchaeota.
AGCGGAGUAGCCCAGCCCGGUCAACGGCGACAGACUCAAGAUAUUCGACUUGUUCGAAAUGUGGCAUCUGCUCCUUUAGAGGUUCGUGGGUUCGAAUCCCACCUCCGCUA